This 274-nucleotide unclassified non-coding RNA is filed under the name Hevea brasiliensis (rubber tree). The record is from RNAcentral. Lineage: Eukaryota; Viridiplantae; Streptophyta; Magnoliopsida; Malpighiales; Euphorbiaceae.
GAUCGCGAGGGGCGUCUUGAGACCGUGAGCCAAGUUUCCCGCCUGCGCCCGCGCCCGGAUCAUUAGCUCGGUCAUCGACCUCAGCAUGGCAUUCAACUCGUCGACCAAGGGCUGCACCUCCUGCGGGAAGUUGCCUUGCAAUUUCUUUUCGCUUCCGGACCGUACCCUGUUCAGGGCAGUACGAAGAUAGUUCAAGGGNNNNNNNNNNNNGUCCGCUCGCGGCAAUGAUCAUCGAACCGGCGAAGGCGCCCAUCGACCAGGCCAGCGUGCUGUU